Molecule: ribosomal RNA, 197 nt
Filed under: uncultured bacterium
Lineage: Bacteria
Description: partial 16S ribosomal RNA
Rfam family: Bacterial small subunit ribosomal RNA
Source: RNAcentral
GGCUGAAAUUACGCCUUCAUGAAGCUGGAAUUGCUGUAAUGGCAGGUCAGCAUACUGCCGUGAAUACGUUCCCGGGCCUUGUACACACCGCCCGUCACACCAUGAGAGUUGGAAAUACCCGAAGCCUGUGAGCUAACUUAAAGAGGCAGCAGUCGAAGGUAGAGCCAAUGAUUGGGGUGAAGUCGUAACAAGGUAGC